AGCUCCAAUAGCGUAUAUUAAAGUUGUUGCGGUUAAAAAGCUCGUAGUUGGAUUUCUGUCGAGAACGCGCGGUCCACGCUUUGCGUGAGUAUCUGUGCCGGUCUUGGCAUCCUCCGGAGGAUCGUUUCUGCGCUUGAUUGCGUGGAGCGGAACUUCGGACUUUUACUUUGAGGAAAUUAGAGUGUUCACGGCAGGCAAACGCCUUGAAUACAUUAGCAUGGAAUAAUAACAUAGGACCUUAGCCCUAUUUUGUUGGUUUCUAGAGCUGAGGUAAUGAUUAAUAGGGAUAAUUGGGGGCAUUCGUAUUAACACG
Molecule: ribosomal RNA, 313 nt
Filed under: uncultured eukaryote
Lineage: Eukaryota
Description: SSU rRNA
Rfam family: Eukaryotic small subunit ribosomal RNA
Source: RNAcentral